UUUCAAGCACCACUGUAAUUUUCAUUCGACUAGCACUUUAAAUAUUGAAAAAAUAGGUUACAGCUAUUCGCCUAUUGCUUCCCGAAUAAUAUUGGCAAUAUUUUCCUGUUAUCUUGAAUAACGUUAGUCUAUAUCCAUUUUUAGCCACCCUAUAUUUAGAAAAAAAAAAUUCAUCUCGCCUGCAACAUUAGCUUAAAACCCGUUCUCUCAGAACUCUGUGGUUCCAGAUGGGUUUUCCAACACAAAAUGUUAGCUAUGUCAUCCAGAUCUUAAUACUAGUACUUAGUACUAUAUUCAACAACUAAAUUGAUUGUACAUGUUCACCUCCAUGUUUUACUGAUUUCAACCAAAAAAAAAAAGUGGCCAGUGCAGAGGGACAGAGCAGCAUUGAUUCCUUCUUGAGUCAGACAAGGUGUGGAAGUAUACAAACAGGACCAUCCCAGAGAGAAGGCCAUGACUGAAUCCAUACAGGACCUCAGCAUUUCAUGCAACCUCCUUCUGUCUUUGAUGGACAAGCCAAGCUUCAAGAAUUUCAUGUCAGUGGUGGAAGAGAGGUACUGCCCAGUAAGUUGAUGCACCAUACCCAGAUCUCUGAGUGAGCUACUGGCAGAAAAAGAGUCCAAGAUAAAAUCCAAACUCGAAAAGGCAGACACUGUGUCUGACUCUGGAUGUUUGGACUCCCAGGAGUAUGUGUGGCUUUUUAGGAGUCACAGCCCACUUCAUGGAAAUGGAGAAAAACAGCCCAAGACUGUAGACAGUUCUUUUAAGUUGCGAACAAUUUACAGGGUCACACACUGAAGAAAGAAUAAGUGAGAAAUGUGACAACUUUAAUAUAAAACACAAAAUUAUCUGUGAUAAUGCCUCAAAUGUGAAGAAAGCCUUCAGUUUGUUUUCCCUUGGCUACAAAAGCCGUUGAAGAUGACCUGGAAAACAGCAACCUCUGGGAGGACAUGAGUGAGGAUAACCAGGAUGAUGUACAAUCCAUCCAGAGCAGCUGAUGGCAACAGCAGCUACAGUGCUUUGCCUGUGCCUUGCUUCUUAUUGUGUGAGAUUAGACUGAAGGAGACAAAAAUUGUGAACAGUGCAAUAGUGACGGUGACAAAAUUCUGCAGUUUACUUUAUUCCACUUGUGGGCUGAAGGAAGCAUUUGAAGCAGAAUAUGGAGCCGAUCAAAGCAUCCCCUCUGCUGUAUCAACACAAUGGAAUACAACUCUCCACCUUGUGGAGGCAAUCACUGACCUGGAUCCCCAAAGUCUAAAUACUCUCCUGGAAGACCAAGAACAUAAAGGUUUGUGCUUAUCAGCAAGGGAAUAGAGUCAGUUGAAAGAACUUGUGGAGAUUUUGUCUCCAUUUCUUCAAGCAACAGACCACACUCAAGGGGAGAAAGUGGUGAGACUCAGUGCAUCUCUCCUUUGUGCACUCUCACUCAACAGCUGUCUUGUCAGUAUGCUAAAUGCAACUCAUCACUUGUUGGUUUGGUGAAAGCACUGUACUGUCCUUACACCAGAUGAAGUCAAGAGUAAGAUCUUGUAUUGGCUGAGGCUUGGAAAGUCACCAUACCAGAGAGCAGUAGUGGAGAAGAUGAUCAGGAUGAGCCACUGCCUGCUAAAACUCCAUGUCUCUUCUCUGGCUCCUAGAAGAAAAGUAACAAGGAGAAUGUAGACUAUGGUUCAUCUGUCAAGGCUGAACUUGUUCGCCAUUUCCAGAUGUCCACUGAUUAAUUGGACUGCCUGGAAUUCUGGAAAAGGCAUGGAAAGGUCUUCCUGAGGCUCUGUCUUGUGGCUAUGAGAGUGCUUGGUGUUCCUACUAACUGUGCACCAAUGGAGAGGGUAUUUGGUCAAUGAGUCCUUAUCAUACGCCUUCACUGAGCCAGGCUUACUGCAAAGACACUCUCAACCUUGAUCUUUUUCAAAUAUAACUAUUCUGUUGCAUUAAAUUUUCUUGGUCUGAGGCCACUGGAGGACACCUAAAAUCCUGUUAAUAGAAAUGUUUUGUGGCCCAUAUCUAGGGUAUUAAGAGAAGAUGGUCAAGCAGUUAUUGAAGGCUUUAUAGUUGUAACUGUUAUUAUUUAUUUCUUCAUUCAUUCAUUUGUGUUCAAAGAAAAUGAUCUGUCAUCAGUUUUUGUUGCUUCAUGGUUGGGGCCAGUUGACUUUCAAAGUUUUUCAUCAAAAAUGUAAAUACUGAAAAAUGUGAAGCAAUCAGAAAGGUGUGCUAUCCAGCCAACAAAGAAAUGACUGAUAAUUACUUUUUGAUAAUUGAUGCUCAACACAGACAAACAUCAUGUAUCCUUUAGUGCAGACUGAAAAAAAAUGAAAAUGUUGCAAAAUACAGUUAUUAAUUUGAAAA
Neoarius graeffei (lesser salmon catfish) is the source of this 2346-nucleotide long non-coding RNA. RefSeq lists it as uncharacterized. The transcript has 2 exons. Lineage: Eukaryota; Metazoa; Chordata; Actinopteri; Siluriformes; Ariidae. The record is from RefSeq and is a predicted model, not a curated record.